GAUUUUGGCAAACCUAUUGAAAGAUAGGGACGCAAAGCUAGAAGCCUGUCGGAAAAAUAAUGUGUAAUUCCUAUGGUAGUUCAGUUGC
Molecule: non-coding RNA, 88 nt
Filed under: Anaerocolumna aminovalerica
Lineage: Bacteria; Bacillati; Bacillota; Clostridia; Lachnospirales; Lachnospiraceae
Description: Cyclic di-GMP-I riboswitch
Rfam family: c-di-GMP-I riboswitch aptamer
About the family: GEMM was predicted in a large-scale screen for bacterial structured RNA regulatory elements. Genes associated with GEMM are involved in a diverse array of functions, including chemotaxis regulation, signal transduction, secretion and chitin.
Source: RNAcentral